RNA transcript from Gossypium raimondii (Peruvian cotton), 1638 nucleotides. RefSeq lists it as uncharacterized. NCBI's taxonomy places the organism in Eukaryota, Viridiplantae, Streptophyta, Magnoliopsida, Malvales, Malvaceae. The record is from RefSeq and is a predicted model, not a curated record. The transcript has 3 exons.
AUCUUGGACGCGGACAGCACAGCUUUAUAAGCCUGCCUUAGGAUCGUGUAUCGAACUACAAGUCUUUAAAUUUAUUACAGGGAAAAGCAGGAAAGCAGAACUAGAACAAGAUGGUAGGAUUUUCUUCCCAAACAGAAUCUUGGGUUGCCACCAGAAACUCAAUCUACGAAUCCCAGAAAGAGGCAGAUAGCUUCGAAUUGGAUCUAAAACGUCUAGAUCUGAUAAAGAUAGAUCAAGAAGACGAGAAUAAUAAUAUUAACAGCCAAGAUAAGAUUAGCACCACCAAGAAGAACAAGAAGAAAAAUCAGGUGUUGCUGGAGGGGUACGUGGAGGCGGUUGAUGAGGAGGAUGAACUGAAGAGGACAAAGAGCUUGACCGGUGAUGAUCUAGACGAACUAAAGGGGUGUUUAGAUCUGGGGUUUGGCUUCAGCUACGAGGAGAUUCCUGAGCUUUGCAACACCUUGCCUGCACUUGAGCUAUGUUACUCUAUGUCUCAGAAGUACUUGGAUGACCACCAGCACCAUGCAUCUCCAGACACCACCGCUACCCCCGAACCCGUCGCCAAUUGGAAGAUCUCUAGUCCUGGUGACCAUCCAGAAGAUGUUAAAGCAAGGCUUAAAUUCUGGGCACAAGCUGUGGCCUGCACUGUCAAACUGUGCAACUAAAAGAUUCAUGAACAAUCAUUGGAAAAAUGAGAAUGAAUAUUUUUCUCAUUGAUGAGCAUCAACUGGAUAAAACCCUACGCUCUGCCGAACCAUGCCAUGGUGGGGAUGACAUUUCCAGCAAUUGUGGGAAAUAGACCAGGCCAAAAUUUUAAAAAUGGAUCAGCUGCAAGGAGCAUGGGAAGAAGCUGGAAAGGAAGAUGUUACAGUGGUGAGAGUCUCCAGUUGAGCUUCACCAACUAGUUCCGGACCUCUGCGUUUGCUGAGGUAACCAAUCUAAUUGUGUUGAUUCAUCAUACCUGUGUUUCCUCUCACCAUGAUUACUGUGGUGGUACCUAGCUAACCAAUGCCGCAGCAUGGAACCACUGAUACUUGAGCUUUGCUAAGAAUAAACUGACCAUUUUAUGGCCAUAGAUGAAUAUAGGGCGAACAUGUAUGUUCAUCGCUUCUACUCCUAUUCUAUCUAUCCCUAAUGCCUUGAAUUUUGAGGUAAAUUGAUACUUGUAACCAAUAUGAAUCUUGGUGGGAGUUGUUAGGGUUUUCUUUCUCACGGAACGGAAGGCUGCAAAUUACACGCAUUCCACUGAGAUGGCUCAUCUUUGCGUAUGUUAAUGUGGUGUUGAAGGUUACGUUUUGGUAUCAGUUUCAUUUUGUGGUUGAGAUAGGAAGAAAACUCAAAACUUAUCUGAUAAUCACAGCCUAGUUUGAAACAGUAAGAGAAGGGACGAAAUUUGACUCGGAUUGGAUUUCCGUUAUUAGGAAAAGAGGCUUUGAGUUGAAAUAUCAAAAUUUAUUGAUUGGGGGUUAUGUCAAAGUUUACUCUUCUCCAGAAAAUCACAUCAGCAAAUAGCAGUUUAUGUUUACGUUUUCAUUUAUUAAAUCUCUCUAUACCUCAUUCUGAGCUGCCAAUCGAAUUCUUCGACCAAGUCCCUCCAUAUCAAUAACAAAUAGAUAUGACCUCUUUGACUCUCAGUAA